This 2726-nucleotide long non-coding RNA is filed under the name Gossypium barbadense (sea-island cotton). RNAcentral describes it as "long non-coding RNA (GBAR_LNC004830)". Lineage: Eukaryota; Viridiplantae; Streptophyta; Magnoliopsida; Malvales; Malvaceae. The record is from RNAcentral.
CUAAGUUCAACUCAUAUCAAAAACAUUUAAAACAUUAAUUGAAUAUCAACCACACAUACACAUUAACUAUAUGAAAUAUGUACAAUAACUUAACAAGCCAUUUUCGCAUGGCUAUACGAAUAUACAAUACCAAAAAGAUACUUAAUUAACAACAAAAGUCAGUCCUAUACAUGCCAUUAACAAAGUUCAGCUACAAAAGUACCGAAUGAGCUUAGAUAAUGCGGAUGACUUCGACUUUGAAACUCCCGAGAACGAUAGCUAACGAAUAAGAUCUAUAAAACAAGGAAUCAAGGCAACAAAGUGAGCAUAAUGAAGCUUAGUAAGUCUUAAGUAAUUCGAACAGAUAAAAACUUAACAUGUAAAUCAACAUUACGAAAUAAUAAACUCGAAAUCAAGUUUAUACCCCUUGCCCGAAAACACAUAUUUAUAUAUAUGCCAACACAAAGAAAUUUACGACCUAAACCUCGAUCAUCAACAUGGAUUAUAUAAUUAAUAUAAUCGUAUACUUUCAUAUAAAUAAAGACAUCAUCCGAAAUGGUUAUUCUCAUAUUCAUAGAUUCGGUAUUCAUCCAUACAUAUAUCUAUACACACAUAUGUAUAUUCCAUUCCUUGUUAAAGGUACUUCAAUCUAAAGGUGGUUUCACUUAUGUGUACGAAUUACGUACCUGAUUUUCAUACUGUAUAGUACAUAAUUAAUAGCAGUCAUCCCGUCCAUUUAAUUCAUAACCUUACUCGAAUUAUCAAGUUAAGCCUGCUAGGCUAAAACCCAAGUCCAGUCACUAGCACAAAGUCUUCGGGACUUUAGGCCCGGAUAUAAUUCCAGCACAUAGCCUGCGGACCUGAAGUCCGGAUAUAAUUCCAGCACAUUGCCUGCGGACCUGAAGUCCAGAUAUAAUUCCAGCACAUUGCCUGCGGACAUGAAGUCCGGAUAUAAUUCCAGCACAUUGCCUGCGGACCUGAAGUCCAGAUAUAAUUCCAGCACAUUGCCUGCGGACCUGAAGUCCGGAUAUAAUUCCAGCACAUUGCCUGUGGACCUGAAGUCCGGAUAUAAUUCUAGCACAUUUAAUUAUGAUCAUACUUUGACACAUCUUAGCCAUCAUAUUACAUUCGAAUACCAAUUCAAAUUGCACUUCAUCAAUCACAUUUCAACUCAAUGGUUAUCUUCUUAUAUUACUCACUCUAUUUUUCAUUAAAUCUUAAAUUCAAAGUGAUCAUCAGUCUAAAAGACAUAUACAUGCAUUAUCCAUUAUACAUUUUAGUUCAAGUAUAAGUCAAAGAUUGAAUUUAUAUAAUAUACUCUUAUAAUGGCGUAAUUAAUUAUAUACUAAAGGAAGAUACUUAAAACUUACCUCGGAUAUUUUGAAUAGUUGCGGAUAGACUACUCGAUUGCUUUUUCUUUCCCUUUAUCUGAUUUUGACCCUCUUAGCUCUUGAGCUUGAUUCAAACAAAUAGAUCUUAUUUAAUAACUUAUCAAAUUAGCUAUUCGAUUAAAUACAUGUAUAUUAUACAAUUAAGUGCGAAUGAUUUUAUUAACUAGUUAUUCAAGCAUUAUACAUAUGCUCUACUCAUGCACUAUCGAACAUAAUACUAGCUUAAUACCUUGCAUAUUCGAAUUUCAUAGACAUCAUUUAGUUUCACAUAAUACACAUAUUGUCCCAAAUCGACACAAGAGUCAAAUGCAUCACUCAAAAUGCCGAAAUCCAAUUAAGUCUACCAUUAUAGCAUUAUCAUAUUUAUGUACUUGGUAAGUUGCGUUUGAACACAUUCGGCACUAGGUGUCCAACCAAAUAUUCCUUGAACACUAAACUCAAUUUAUAACCUUUCCUAAUUAAAACAUUUAACACCGACUAGACAUGUUUACAAGCCUAAGCUGAAUAUUAUUUUAGACAUUCGAGAAAUCGUUUCUCAACUCAACUAAAUUUUGUAUAUCACACUCAAAUAUUCACACUAGUUUAUUUUAACAUUAUAGCUGAAACCCUCAAUUGGCUAACACAACCUCUUAAUUCAAUAUAAACACGCAUACAUAUAUAUAUACAACCUAAAUCCCUUUCUUAACUCGUAAUUCACUAACUUGGGAGUUAUUUUCUAACAAAUUUUAACUUACUCUAAUACCGAAUGCUACUCAAGCUUUAAGCUCAUGUCCUUUCAUUAUUAAGCAAAUGUUAUAACAUAACUAACAUCCCUUUUUCAAUUUGAACAAUCAACAUAUAAAGAAAUUAAACACAAAGAUUCAUAGCCGAAACCUAUACAUAACAUCAUUCAAGGUUUAAUCCCCUAAAUUCAUUCACAAAGCCGAACCUAUUGAGAGAUGUAUAUAAAACAAUAUCUAGUUAGUACAUUCAAGCACCCACGGCAUUCCCUUCAAUUUAACACUAAGACAAACCAAAAGAUUUAUUCAUGUAAAUUCAAAAAUUUCAAGUUCAUCUCUUUCACAUAUAAAUACCAAAAAUUAAGUAUUUACUAGCUUAAACUCUAUUAAACCUUAAAACAUCAAUCUAUCCCCUAUCAUUUUCCCCCAUGGCCGAAUGCUCAAGACACCAUAAAACUAAAAAUUUUGUCAUGGGCUAUGUAAUGAACUUAAUAUCUAACUUAAAAUAUGCUAAAAAUCCAUAAGCUAACAUGAAUUUCUCACCUUAUUUAUGGCUUAGAAUCACCGAAUGGUUGCUCCCUUUUUCCCUCUUAGAAUCGGCCAAGAAGAAACAAGAAUAAAGACUUGUUUCUUUCAC